UUUCAAGGGAUGGGAAUCGAACCCACGACCUUCCUCUUACCGGGCAGAUGCCAUGACCACUAGGCUACCCUGGA
Molecule: transfer RNA, 74 nt
Filed under: Cordylochernes scorpioides
Lineage: Eukaryota; Metazoa; Arthropoda; Arachnida; Pseudoscorpiones; Chernetidae
Description: tRNA-Thr
Source: RNAcentral